UUCCUUCUUCCAACUCUUCCAGAACUGCCUUUCCAUUACCAAAUUCCUGCUUUACAGCCUUUCUUUGCGGAUUUCAAGCCCCAGACCGAAAUUUAAUUCGCUGAGAUAUUCCUCUGUAGCGCUUUCGUGGCUUGUUUCGCGGAGGUCAAAACAUGUCUUGUUGGCGGUGAAUUUAUUGGAGAUGUUCCUUUAUACCACAAAAUACUUGCCGCUCUUUUGACGGGUGCUAUAGCAAUUGCAGUGGCUAAUCCAACUGAUUUUGUCAAAAUUUGACUUCAAGCUGAAGGAAAACCACCGGCUGGGGUUCCUAGGCGCUAUUCUGGAGGUUUGGAUGCUUAUUUCAACAUAGAGAGGCAGGUGAAAUCUAGAAUGAUGGGAGAUUCAACAUACAAAAACGCAUUUGAUUGCUUCAUCAAAACUUUGAAGAGUGAGGUAUGUUGAGUUGUCUUGGAAGAUAAAAAGAAAAUUGUCAAUAAUAUUGGCUCUCUCUCUCUCUCUCUCUCUCUCAUAUACACUGCA
Long non-coding RNA from Juglans microcarpa x Juglans regia, 519 nucleotides. RefSeq lists it as uncharacterized. NCBI's taxonomy places the organism in Eukaryota, Viridiplantae, Streptophyta, Magnoliopsida, Fagales, Juglandaceae. The record is from RefSeq and is a predicted model, not a curated record. The transcript is spliced from 4 exons.